UUCAAUAAGAUAUUAGAAUGAAGUUAAAAUACAGUUAAAAAAUCCAAUCUGCAACGAAAAAUAAUAAAUUAAUCAUUCAAAAAGUAAGGAUGUCUGAAGGAAAAACGGGUAAAAUCAAUGCUGUAAAGGAGGCUGUAACAUCGGUUGUUGGUCGAUUUAUUGUCUCCAACAUCGCAAAAACUAAAGAAAACAAAGCUCUGAAG
This is a long non-coding RNA of Papilio polytes (common Mormon), 203 nucleotides long. RefSeq lists it as uncharacterized. The record is from RefSeq and is a predicted model, not a curated record. NCBI's taxonomy places the organism in Eukaryota, Metazoa, Arthropoda, Insecta, Lepidoptera, Papilionidae. The transcript is spliced from 2 exons.